Molecule: transfer RNA, 73 nt
Filed under: Crocinitomicaceae bacterium
Lineage: Bacteria; Pseudomonadati; Bacteroidota; Flavobacteriia; Flavobacteriales; Crocinitomicaceae
Also listed under: 1 other name
Description: tRNA-Lys
Rfam family: tRNA
About the family: Transfer RNA (tRNA) molecules are approximately 80 nucleotides in length. Their secondary structure includes four short double-helical elements and three loops (D, anti-codon, and T loops).
Source: RNAcentral
UUGCAGAUAGCUCAGCUGGUAGAGCGAUUGACUUUUAAUCAAUUGGCCGCAGGUUCAAUUCCUGCUCCGCAAC